Molecule: transfer RNA, 87 nt
Filed under: Planctomycetaceae bacterium
Lineage: Bacteria; Pseudomonadati; Planctomycetota; Planctomycetia; Planctomycetales; Planctomycetaceae
Also listed under: 1 other name
Description: tRNA-Ser
Rfam family: tRNA
About the family: Transfer RNA (tRNA) molecules are approximately 80 nucleotides in length. Their secondary structure includes four short double-helical elements and three loops (D, anti-codon, and T loops).
Source: RNAcentral
GGAGAGGUGGCAGAGUGGCCGAAUGCGCCGGUCUCGAAAACCGGUAUGCCCGAAAGGGCAUCGAGAGUUCGAAUCUCUCCUUCUCCG